GAUGAACGCUGGCGGCGUGCUUAACACAUGCAAGUCGAACGGAAAGGCCCAAGCUUGCUUGGGUCCUCGAGUGGCGAACGGGUGAGUAACACGUGGGUGAUCUGCCCUGCACUUCGGGAUAAGCCUGGGAAACUGGGUCUAAUACCGGAUAGGACCACAUUUUGGAUGGUGUGGUGGAAAGUUUUUCGGUGUGGGAUGAGCUCGCGGCCUAUCAGCUUGUUGGUGGGGUAAUGGCCUACCAAGGCGUCGACGGGUAGCCGGCCUGAGAGGGUGUACGGCCACAUUGGGACUGAGAUACGGCCCAGACUCCUACGGGAGGCAGCAGUGGGGAAUAUUGCACAAUGGGCGUAAGCCUGAUGCAGCGACGCCGCGUGGGGGAUGACGGCCUUCGGGUUGUAAACUCCUUUCGCUAGGGACGAAGCGUUUUUGUGACGGUACCUGGAGAAGAAGCACCGGCUAACUACGUG
This 467-nucleotide ribosomal RNA is filed under the name uncultured bacterium. RNAcentral's name for it is "partial 16S ribosomal RNA". It matches the Rfam family "Bacterial small subunit ribosomal RNA", at positions 28 to 507 of the family's 1533-position model. The record is from RNAcentral.